RNAcentral lists this transfer RNA (76 nucleotides) under Chryseobacterium sp. Leaf405. RNAcentral's name for it is "tRNA-Ile". It matches the Rfam family "tRNA". Rfam says of the family: Transfer RNA (tRNA) molecules are approximately 80 nucleotides in length. Lineage: Bacteria; Pseudomonadati; Bacteroidota; Flavobacteriia; Flavobacteriales; Weeksellaceae. The record is from RNAcentral.
AAUCUCAUAGCUCAAUGGUUGGAGCAUCGGUCUGAUACGCAGAAGGUUGAAGGUUCGAGUCCUUCUGGGAUUACAA